This 253-nucleotide ribosomal RNA is filed under the name uncultured bacterium. RNAcentral's name for it is "partial 16S ribosomal RNA". It matches the Rfam family "Bacterial small subunit ribosomal RNA", at positions 524 to 776 of the family's 1533-position model. The record is from RNAcentral.
UACGUAGGGUGCAAGCGUUGUCCGGAAUUAUUGGGCGUAAAGGGCUCGUAGGCGGUCCAUCGCGUCGGGUGUGAAAAGCUGGGGCUCAACCCCAGUCCUGCUUUCGAUACGGGUGGACUAGAGGUAUGCAGGGGAGAACGGAAUUCCUGGUGUAGCGGUGAAAUGCGCAGAUAUCAGGAGGAACACCGGUGGCGAAGGCGGUUCUCUGGGCAUUACCUGACGCUGAGGAGCGAAAGCGUGGGGAGCAAACAGG